RNAcentral lists this ribosomal RNA (119 nucleotides) under Oncorhynchus kisutch (coho salmon). The record is from RNAcentral. Lineage: Eukaryota; Metazoa; Chordata; Actinopteri; Salmoniformes; Salmonidae.
GCUUACUACCACACCGGCCUGAGUACGCCUGAUCUCGUCUGAUCUCGGAAGCUAAGCAGGUUCGGGCCUGGUUAGUAUUUGGAUGGGAGACAGCCUGGGAAUACCAGGUGCUGUAAGCA